ACAUGGGCCACAACACGGAAGAUUGUGUGACCCUCAAAGAUAAAAUAGAGGAGCUGAUUCAAGUAGGACAGUUGCAACACUAUGUGAAGGAAUAUCGGGCGGUGAGGAGGUCAUCGGUGAGGGACGCGAGCCCCGUGAGAAGCGUCCCCAGGGGGAGAAGUCCCCGACGCCCCAAGGAUAAAAGAGUGGUCCCCCUUACGAAAGUAGAUCCGACCGAUAGGAAGACGAUCGAAGGUCGAAUUUCCAUAAACGAAGUAGAAGUAUAAGCAGGGAGAGGGCAAGUAGUCCCCCCUUUAGGAGAAUGAUUAACAC
RNAcentral lists this long non-coding RNA (312 nucleotides) under Vigna radiata. RNAcentral's name for it is "long non-coding RNA (VRAD_LNC015413)". The record is from RNAcentral. Lineage: Eukaryota; Viridiplantae; Streptophyta; Magnoliopsida; Fabales; Fabaceae.